Molecule: ribosomal RNA, 207 nt
Filed under: uncultured bacterium
Lineage: Bacteria
Description: partial 16S ribosomal RNA
Rfam family: Bacterial small subunit ribosomal RNA
Source: RNAcentral
CAUGUAGGCGGUCUGUUAAGUCUGAUGUGAAAGCCCGGGGCUCAACCCCGGAAGUGCAUUGGAUACUGGCAGACUUGAGUAUGGGAGAGGAAAGUGGAAUUCCGAGUGUAGGAGUGAAAUCCGUAGAUAUUCGGAGGAACACCAGUGGCGAAGGCGGCUUUCUGGACCAAUACUGAUGCUGAGAUGCGAAAGCGUGGGGAGCGAACA